GACCUGGUGGUGAAUGGAUCACACCCACCCUUCUUAAAAGUUUGCAGCAUGUAAGGUGGGAGUCCCCGGUUCGAUUCCGGGCCAGGUCA
Mycena metata is the source of this 89-nucleotide non-coding RNA. Lineage: Eukaryota; Fungi; Basidiomycota; Agaricomycetes; Agaricales; Mycenaceae. The record is from the annotation of a GenBank genome assembly.